RNAcentral lists this ribosomal RNA (550 nucleotides) under Paenibacillus sp. p57_D04. RNAcentral's name for it is "bacterial SSU rRNA". It matches the Rfam family "Bacterial small subunit ribosomal RNA", at positions 557 to 1107 of the family's 1533-position model. The record is from RNAcentral. Lineage: Bacteria; Bacillati; Bacillota; Bacilli; Caryophanales; Paenibacillaceae.
GGCGUAAGCGCGCGCAGGCGGUCCUUUAAGUCGGAUGUGAAAGCCCAGGGCUCAACCUUGGAUCGUCUCCGAAAACUGGUAGACUUGAUUGCGAAAAAGGAAGGUGAAUUUCCCGGGGUACCGGUGAAUUGCUUAAAAAUUGGAAGAACCACCAUGGGCAAAGGCAACUUCCUGGCCUGAAACUGACCCUGAGGCGCGAAACCGGGGGAAGCAAACAGGAUUAAAUACCCGGGUAUCCCACCCCGUAAACAAUGAUGGCUAGUGGUUGGGGUCUUUACACCCUUGAUGGCGAAGCUAACCCAUUAAGCCAUCCGCCUGGGGAAUACCGGCCCCAGGAUUAAACUCCAAUGAAUUGACGGGGACCCCCACCAGCCGUGGAAUAUGGGGUUUAAUUCCAAACAACCCCAAAAACCUUACCAGGGCUUGGCCUGCGAAUGAACUUCCGAAAAAUAAUGGUUUCCUUCGGGAACUCCAAGACAGGUGGUGCAUGGUUGUCGUCAGCUCCUGUCGUGAGAUGUUGGGUUAAGUCCCGCAACGAGCGCAACCCUUG